GACGAACGCUGGCGGCGUGCUUAACACAUGCAAGUCGAGCGGUAAGGCUCCUUCGGGAGUACACGAGCGGCGAACGGGUGAGUAACACGUGAGCAAUCUGCCCUUCACACGGGGAUAACCCUCGGAAACGAGAGCUAAUACCCGAUACGACCACUUCAGGCAUCUGAUGGUGGUGGAAAGUUCCGGCGGUGAAGGAUGAGCUCGCGGCCUAUCAGCUUGUUGGUGGGGUAACGGCCCACCAAGGCAACGACGGGUAGCCGGCCUGAGAGGGUGACCGGCCACACUGGGACUGAGACACGGACCAGACUCCUACGGGAGGCAGCAGUGGGGAAUAUUGGACAAUGGGCGAAAGCCUGAUCCAGCAACGCCGCGUGAGGGAUGACGGCCUUCGGGUUGUAAACCUCUUUCAGCAGGGACGAAGCGCAAGUGACGGUACCUGCAGAAGAAGCACCGGCCAACUACGUGCCAGCCACCGCCGUAA
Molecule: ribosomal RNA, 481 nt
Filed under: uncultured bacterium
Lineage: Bacteria
Description: partial 16S ribosomal RNA
Rfam family: Bacterial small subunit ribosomal RNA
Source: RNAcentral